This 30-nucleotide non-coding RNA is filed under the name Drosophila erecta. The record is from RNAcentral. Lineage: Eukaryota; Metazoa; Arthropoda; Insecta; Diptera; Drosophilidae. RNAcentral also lists the same sequence under 6 other names.
CAGGGUCGUGGGUUCGAGCCCCACGUUGGG